Molecule: ribosomal RNA, 2856 nt
Filed under: Salmonella enterica
Lineage: Bacteria; Pseudomonadati; Pseudomonadota; Gammaproteobacteria; Enterobacterales; Enterobacteriaceae
Description: bacterial LSU rRNA
Rfam family: Bacterial large subunit ribosomal RNA
Source: RNAcentral
AGCGUACACGGUGGAUGCCCUGGCAGUCAGAGGCGAUGAAGGACGUGCUAAUCUGCGAUAAGCGCCGGUAAGGUGAUAUGAACCGUUAUAACCGGCGAUUUCCGAAUGGGGAAACCCAGUGUGACUCGUCACACUAUCAUUAACUGAAUCCAUAGGUUAAUGAGGCGAACCGGGGGAACUGAAACAUCUAAGUACCCCGAGGAAAAGAAAUCAACCGAGAUUCCCCCAGUAGCGGCGAGCGAACGGGGAGGAGCCCAGAGCCUGAAUCAGCAUGUGUGUUAGUGGAAGCGUCUGGAAAGGCGCGCGAUACAGGGUGACAGCCCCGUACACAAAAGCGCAUGUGCUGUGAGCUCGAUGAGUAGGGCGGGACACGUGGUAUCCUGUCUGAAUAUGGGGGGACCAUCCUCCAAGGCUAAAUACUCCUGACUGACCGAUAGUGAACCAGUACCGUGAGGGAAAGGCGAAAAGAACCCCGGCGAGGGGAGUGAAAAAGAACCUGAAACCGUGUACGUACAAGCAGUGGGAGCACCCUUCGGGGUGUGACUGCGUACCUUUUGUAUAAUGGGUCAGCGACUUAUAUUCUGUAGCAAGGUUAACCGAAUAGGGGAGCCGGAGGGAAACCGAGUCUUAAUUGGGCGUUAAGUUGCAGGGUAUAGACCCGAAACCCGGUGAUCUAGCCAUGGGCAGGUUGAAGGUUGGGUAACACUAACUGGAGGACCGAACCGACUAAUGUUGAAAAAUUAGCGGAUGACCUGUGGCUGGGGGUGAAAGGCCAAUCAAACCGGGAGAUAGCUGGUUCUCCCCGAAAGCUAUUUAGGUAGCGCCUCGUGAACUCAUCUCCGGGGGUAGAGCACUGUUUCGGCUAGGGGGCCAUCCCGGCUUACCAACCCGAUGCAAACUGCGAAUACCGGAGAAUGUUAUCACGGGAGACACACGGCGGGUGCUAACGUCCGUCGUGAAGAGGGAAACAACCCAGACCGCCAGCUAAGGUCCCAAAGUCAUGGUUAAGUGGGAAACGAUGUGGGAAGGCCCAGACAGCCAGGAUGUUGGCUUAGAAGCAGCCAUCAUUUAAAGAAAGCGUAAUAGCUCACUGGUCGAGUCGGCCUGCGCGGAAGAUGUAACGGGGCUAAACCAUGCACCGAAGCUGCGGCAGCGAACGUAUCACUUAAAGCGAUUCAGCGGGUUACGAUUGACGGAGCGAAGCGACGUCAAAGCGUAUACAAAGUCGAGUCGGUUUAAGGAUACGUUCGUUGGGUAGGGGAGCGUUCUGUAAGCCUGCGAAGGUGGCCUGUGAGGGUUGCUGGAGGUAUCAGAAGUGCGAAUGCUGACAUAAGUAACGAUAAAGCGGGUGAAAAGCCCGCUCGCCGGAAGACCAAGGGUUCCUGUCCAACGUUAAUCGGGGCAGGGUGAGUCGACCCCUAAGGCGAGGCCGAAAGGCGUAGUCGAUGGGAAACGGGUUAAUAUUCCCGUACUUGGUGUUACUGCGAAGGGGGGACGGAGAAGGCUAUGUUGGCCGGGCGACGGUUGUCCCGGUUUAAGCGUGUAGGUGUGUGUUCCAGGUAAAUCCGGUUCACUUUAACACUGAGGCGUGAUGACGAGGCACUACGGUGCUGAAGCAACAAAUGCCCUGCUUCCAGGAAAAGCCUCUAAGCAUCAGGUAACAUCAAAUCGUACCCCAAACCGACACAGGUGGUCAGGUAGAGAAUACCAAGGCGCUUGAGAGAACUCGGGUGAAGGAACUAGGCAAAAUGGUGCCGUAACUUCGGGAGAAGGCACGCUGACACGUAGGUGAAGUGAUUUACUCACGGAGCUGAAGUCAGUCGAAGAUACCAGCUGGCUGCAACUGUUUAUUAAAAACACAGCACUGUGCAAACACGAAAGUGGACGUAUACGGUGUGACGCCUGCCCGGUGCCGGAAGGUUAAUUGAUGGGGUCAGCGCAAGCGAAGCUCCUGAUCGAAGCCCCGGUAAACGGCGGCCGUAACUAUAACGGUCCUAAGGUAGCGAAAUUCCUUGUCGGGUAAGUUCCGACCUGCACGAAUGGCGUAAUGAUGGCCAGGCUGUCUCCACCCGAGACUCAGUGAAAUUGAACUCGCUGUGAAGAUGCAGUGUACCCGCGGCAAGACGGAAAGACCCCGUGAACCUUUACUAUAGCUUGACACUGAACAUUGAGCCUUGAUGUGUAGGAUAGGUGGGAGGCUUUGAAGUGUGGACGCCAGUCUGCAUGGAGCCGACCUUGAAAUACCACCCUUUAAUGUUUGAUGUUCUAACGUGGACCCGUGAUCCGGGUUGCGGACAGUGUCUGGUGGGUAGUUUGACUGGGGCGGUCUCCUCCUAAAGAGUAACGGAGGAGCACGAAGGUUGGCUAAUCCUGGUCGGACAUCAGGAGGUUAGUGCAAUGGCAUAAGCCAGCUUGACUGCGAGCGUGACGGCGCGAGCAGGUGCGAAAGCAGGUCAUAGUGAUCCGGUGGUUCUGAAUGGAAGGGCCAUCGCUCAACGGAUAAAAGGUACUCCGGGGAUAACAGGCUGAUACCGCCCAAGAGUUCAUAUCGACGGCGGUGUUUGGCACCUCGAUGUCGGCUCAUCACAUCCUGGGGCUGAAGUAGGUCCCAAGGGUAUGGCUGUUCGCCAUUUAAAGUGGUACGCGAGCUGGGUUUAGAACGUCGUGAGACAGUUCGGUCCCUAUCUGCCGUGGGCGCUGGAGAACUGAGGGGGGCUGCUCCUAGUACGAGAGGACCGGAGUGGACGCAUCACUGGUGUUCGGGUUGUCAUGCCAAUGGCACUGCCCGGUAGCUAAAUGCGGAAGAGAUAAGUGCUGAAAGCAUCUAAGCACGAAACUUGCCCCGAGAUGAGUUCU